RNAcentral lists this long non-coding RNA (521 nucleotides) under Trifolium pratense (red clover). Its description in RNAcentral is "long non-coding RNA (TPRA_LNC009703)". The record is from RNAcentral. Lineage: Eukaryota; Viridiplantae; Streptophyta; Magnoliopsida; Fabales; Fabaceae.
AACAACAACAACAUCAACAAAAUCAUCAACACCACCAAGAACAACAACAACAUCAACAAAAUCAUCAACACCACCAAGAACAACAAUCCAAAAAGAACCCAAUUUUUUUUCUUUCAAAAAUCAAUCUCGGUAAACCCAAAAACAUAAUCAUAAAUUUCUUUUGUUCUUCUAUUCUUCAUCCCUUUGCAACAACCUAAUUUCUUCCUAACCCAAAAACAUAAUUCUUCUUCCCAAUUCUUCAUCCCAUCAAUUCAAUCCCUAACCCAUAAAUUCAAAAACCCAGUUUCUGCCUUUAUAGGAAAUCUGGUUCCUAGUUCAUGCCUUUGUUCUUCAUCAAUCAUUUGUUUCAACGAAUUUGGCGGAGUGAUUCGGCGGAUUUCUAGGUUUUAUUUUAGAGAAAAAGGAUUAUGGGAUUCUAAGUUUGUGUAAGAGAAAAAAUAAUUUUGGGUUUUGAGAAGAAGAAUGAGAAGGAGAAAGAUUUAUGUUAUGUUACAGGAAAAGAUUGUGAGUUUUUUUUUUUU